AUCUUACUACUUGGAUAACCGUGGUAAUUCUAGAGCUAAUACAUGCUUAAAAUCCCGACUUCGGAAGGGAUGUAUUUAUUAGAUUAAAAACCAAUGCCCUUCGGGGCUCUCUGGUGAUUCAUGAUAACUUCUCGAAUCGCAUGGCCUUGCGCCGGCGAUGGUUCAUUCAAAUUUCUUCCCUAUCAACUUUCGAUGUUUGGGUAUUGGCCAAACAUGGUUGCAACGGGUAACGGAGGGUUAGGGCUCGACCCCGGAGAAGGAGCCUGAGAAACGGCUACUACAUCCAAGGAAGGCAGCAGGCGCGCAAAUUACCCAAUCCCGACUCGGGGAGGUAGUGACAAUAAAUACUGAUACAGGGUUCUUUUGGAUCUUGUAAUUGGAAUGAGUACAAUUUAAAUCCCUUAACGAGGAACAAUUGGAGGGCAAGUCUGGUGCCAGCAGCCGCGGUAAUUCCAGCUCCAAUAGCGUAUAUUAAAGUUGUUGUGGUUAAAAAGCUCGUAGUUGAACCUUGGGCCUGGCUGGCCGGUCCGCCUCACCGCGUGUACUGGUCCGGCCGGGCCUUUCCCUCUGUGGAACCCCAUGCCCUUCACUGGGUGUGGCGGGGAAACAGGACUUUUACUUUGAAAAAAUUAGAGUGCUCCAGGCAGGCCUUUGCUCGAAUACAUUAGCAUGGAAUAAUGAAAUAGGACGUGCGGUUCUAUUUUGUUGGUUUCUAGGACCGCCGUAAUGAUUAAUAGGGACAGUCGGGGGCAUCAGUAUUCAAUUGUCAGAGGUGAAAUUCUUGGAUUUAUUGAAGACUAACUACUGCGAAAGCAUUUGCCAAGGAUGUUUUCAUUAAUCAGGAACGAAAGUUAGGGGAUCGAAGACGAUCAGAUACCGUCGUAGUCUUAACCAUAAACUAUGCCGACUAGGGAUCGGACGGUGUUAACAAUUGACCCGUUCGGCACCUUACGAGAAAUCAAAGUGCUUGGGCUCCAGGGGGAGUAUGGUCGCAAGGCUGAAACUUAA
This 1008-nucleotide ribosomal RNA is filed under the name Stephanonectria sp. RNAcentral describes it as "SSU rRNA". It matches the Rfam family "Eukaryotic small subunit ribosomal RNA", at positions 129 to 1147 of the family's 1831-position model. Lineage: Eukaryota; Fungi; Ascomycota; Sordariomycetes; Hypocreales; Nectriaceae. The record is from RNAcentral.